Non-coding RNA from Equus caballus (horse), 541 nucleotides. NCBI's taxonomy places the organism in Eukaryota, Metazoa, Chordata, Mammalia, Perissodactyla, Equidae. The record is from RefSeq and is a predicted model, not a curated record.
UGCUCAAGUCAUAUGUUUUGUUAAAUCAUACAGCAAAUUCAAGGGGAAAGAGAGGGAGUAGGGUCACAGCCUCAGUAAAGGAGCUAGCAGAAUGGAAAGACUCCGUGGAUCUAGUGUUAGCCAACAUUCACGCGUCCUUUCUUUUGUCUGCCAUAUCAGCCUUCCCUGCUGGGGGUGUGGUUUCAAGGACCAGAGUGUAGGGCUGACAGGGAGAGCUGAAGCCAGUGCUCACUUUCUCCAGCAGAGAGGCACGGGCUCAAGGGUUCCUGGCCGGUAGCUCAUUGACAACUUGCUGAGAAGCUGUGGUUUUUGUCUGCAUCUCUCAGCACUGCCCAGCCUCCAGACAAGCCCGCUGAAGGAUAAGAAACCACGGGGAGCAGAGACUGGCACCUCACUCAGCCAGUCCCCAACUGAUGCAGCAACUGACUGCAGACACACGAGCAAGCCCAGCCCAAAUCAGCUGAGUUUGGCACAUUCAGCAGAAAUGUCCAGAUGACCAAGAUAUUCAUGAGCAAUGAUAAAUUAUUGUUGUUUUAAGUCA